Molecule: long non-coding RNA, 1233 nt
Organism: Salvelinus namaycush (lake trout)
Lineage: Eukaryota; Metazoa; Chordata; Actinopteri; Salmoniformes; Salmonidae
Exons: 3
Source: RefSeq, a predicted model, not a curated record
UCAGGACAUAGUAUCGCCUCUGUCUAGGUGGAUCCAGUUGAGAAUGGUCGUCAACAGGUAGCAAACGUUACUCACUGUACCAGCCACUCGUUCAUAGAACAUCAGAUUGCGAAUAACUAUAUUUUUUGUGUGUGUGUCGACAAUAAGCAGGUAACCGAUACAAUUUGACUCCAGCAGCCUGCACUUGCUUGUAGUUUGCACAUUCAGGUACUGAGCACCACAACAUGACUAGACUUUACAGGAGAUAUUCCUCGGGGCCGACAGUGGCUGGCAGCAAUAAAGAACCCUGCCUAUAAUGUGAAUACUCCUGUGGAGAAAUAUCCAAAUCUCCGUGUUUGUAGCCAGCACUUUCAGCCAGAGGAUUUCGAAAUGGACAUGAAGUUUCAACUGAUGGGAUUGCCAGGUCGUCGAAUGUUGAAAAGUGAAGAAGCUAUUCUGUCGGUUUUUAUCUUCACUUCAAAGAGGAAGGCAUCCGAUCACCCAACAUCAGCGCAGAAAAUAAGUCGACCAGAGGUAAUGUAGCUAACUAGCUAGGAAACUAUAACGUUAUUUGUUUAUCUAAAAAACAAAUAAAAAAUCUAGCUAGCAAGAUGUUAUAAUAAGCUGGCUAGCCAUUCCAACGCAAAUCAAUGCAAUUAGCCAGCUGCUAUCUGUCAAUGUGAUUUGUAACUUUGCAAUCUAACGUUAGCUAUGUUAGGAUACGUUAACUACAGCCUACCGGACCGUAUCUAACCGUUAGCUAGUUAACUUCCGCAGGGGCUAAUGUGACUGGCCUAUGUGUUCUAUUUACAGAGUCCAAAUCCCAUCAACAUCUGCAGCACAUCAACAUCAAGCUCAGCACCAGGAACUAGUAGUCGCCAAAUACACCACCUAUUGCCUGACUACCGAUGACGUCAGCGAGAUUGUGCAGAGUGACCUAAUACAGGUCACGGAGGCACCCAGUUCUGUUGCGACGGAGGUAGUAAUUGGCUUCAAGCGUGCUCUGACAAAGCUGGUGGACAACAUGGGUUUCACAGUGGAUGUGGUCACAACCGACCGUUCCCCAUCUAUACGCAAGAUGAGGGAUCUCUUCUCUGACGUCUAACAAGAGCUUGAUGUGUCGCAUACAGUGAAAGAUUAGCACUGCAGAACCCAACCUUGAACAAGAUGGGUCCCAUUAUGUCUGCCGAAAACCAAACUGCUUUCCACAGUAAGAACCUCAUACCAACAGUCAAGCAUGGUGGUGGUUUGGGG